This 489-nucleotide ribosomal RNA is filed under the name uncultured bacterium. Its description in RNAcentral is "partial 16S ribosomal RNA". It matches the Rfam family "Bacterial small subunit ribosomal RNA", at positions 30 to 507 of the family's 1533-position model. The record is from RNAcentral.
AUUGAACGCUGGCGGCAGGCUUAACACAUGCAAGUCGAGCGGUAACAGAGAGAAGCUUGCUUCUCUGCUGACGAGCGGCGGACGGGUGAGUAAUGCCUAGGAAUCUGCCUAGUAGUGGGGGAUAACUUGCCGAAAGGUAAGCUAAUACCGCAUACGUCCUACGGGAGAAAGGAGGGGACCUUCGGGCCUUUCGCUAUUAGAUGAGCCUAGGUCGGAUUAGUUAGUUGGUGAGGUAAUGGCUCACCAAGACCGCGAUCCGUAACUGGUCUGGGAGGAUGAUCAGUCACACUGGAACGGAGACACGGUCCAGACUCCUAGGGGAGGCAGCAGUGGGGAAUAUUGGACAAUGGGGGAACCCUGAUCCAGCCAUGCCGCGUGUGUGAAGAAGGUCUUAGGAUUGUAAAGCACUUUAAGUUGGGAGGAAGAGCAGUUAACUAAUAUUUGACUGUUUUGACGUUACCGACAGAAUAAGCACCGGCUAACUUCGUG